This 253-nucleotide ribosomal RNA is filed under the name uncultured bacterium. RNAcentral's name for it is "partial 16S ribosomal RNA". It matches the Rfam family "Bacterial small subunit ribosomal RNA", at positions 524 to 776 of the family's 1533-position model. The record is from RNAcentral.
UACGUAGGGUGCAGGCGUUAAUCGGAAUUACUGGGCGUAAAGCGUGCGCAGGCGGUUUGCUAAGACAGGUGUGAAAUCCCCGGGCUCAACCUGGGAACUGCAUUUGGGACUGCAAGGCUAGAGUACGGCAGAGGGGGGUAGAAUUCCUGGUGUAGCAGUGAAAUGCGUAGAUAUCAGGAGGAAUACCGAUGGCGAAGGCAGCCCCCUGGGUCGAUACUGACGCUCAUGCACGAAAGCGUGGGGAGCAAACAGG